Alosa alosa (allis shad) is the source of this 384-nucleotide long non-coding RNA. RefSeq lists it as uncharacterized. The record is from RefSeq and is a predicted model, not a curated record. NCBI's taxonomy places the organism in Eukaryota, Metazoa, Chordata, Actinopteri, Clupeiformes, Clupeidae. The transcript is spliced from 3 exons.
GGGGCUGUGGCAGGUGUGGAGGCAGAGGAGGAGAGUGCCGUGGCGGCAGAGGAGGAGAGUGCCGUGGAGGCAGAGGAAGUAGCCAUGGAUGCAGGGGAGCCAGAGAGCGAGAGGAGACAGGAGAGAGAGAGGACGCAGAAGAGAGAGAGGAGAGUGCCGUGGAGGCAGCCAUGGAGGCAGGAGAGGAAGGGGCUGCAACUGCCAUGGGAGUAGCAGAGGUCCAGGUAUUUUGGAGUCCUUGUCCGGCAUGUGGCAAAACCUGGCCUUCAUCUUGGGAACCCACAGGAAAUGUGCAAUUUAGAACAUACACACAUGCACAAACACUUGACCACAACAGGAGCUGGUGGUUCCACCAUUACACAGACACACAAACAUACACAUAUC